RNAcentral lists this ribosomal RNA (253 nucleotides) under uncultured bacterium. RNAcentral's name for it is "partial 16S ribosomal RNA". It matches the Rfam family "Bacterial small subunit ribosomal RNA", at positions 524 to 776 of the family's 1533-position model. The record is from RNAcentral.
UACGUAGGGUGCAAACGUUGCUCGGAAUCAUUGGGCGUAAAGCGCACGUAGGCGGACUGCUAAGUCGGAUGUGAAAGCCCUCGGCUUAACCGAGGAAGUGCAUUCGAAACUGACAGUCUUGAGUAUGGAAGAGGGUCGCGGAAUUCCCGGUGUAGAGGUGAAAUUCGUAGAUAUCGGGAGGAACACCAGUGGCGAAGGCGGCGACCUGGGCCAAUACUGACGCUGAGGUGCGAAAGCGUGGGGAGCAAACAGG